CUCUGCUGGGCGCCACGAUCUGGCCGGGACGCAACGCUCCUCAUCUCCUGCCAGGACAGAGACCUCAUUUGGCUUUUGCAGGGGAACCUCCCCGCCCCCAUCGCUGGGUGGGAUGCACGGAACCCGGGCCAGGGCUGGGAAGGAGUCCAGAUGGUCACCGGGACAAAGGGACCCUUUGCGGUGCUACAGCACAGAGCUCCUCCCUCUCUCGCGAGCCAGGGCAAGGCCCUGGGUGCAGCCGGGGCUUCUGGUGCUGCAAAUUUCAGACUCUGUCGUUUCUUCAGUUCAUGUGAUCCGUGCUCUCCAAGGCCUCAGCCUGGGGUCCCUCCAGUCCCACCUGCAGACAUCAGGGAUCGAACUUGGACCUCUUUGCAUGCAAAGUGGGGCUCCGCUGCUGAGAUGUGGCCCUUUGGUCCCCUAAAAUGAAGCCAAGAUUCUAGUCCUCAGUGUUCUUAAGAAAAGGCUGAUUGAAUUAGGAAUGCAGGAAGCUGCCAGGCCCUUCAUCCAGCCGUUCUGUGCCCCCCAGGCUGGUUAGCAUGUCGGAGGCAGAGGGGUCUUCUCUGCUAACCCUCGAGAUGUCAAGAUUUGAAUCCGGGCCUUGCUGCUGGCACUGUGCACACAGUCGUGGGAGCCCUCGAGCGGCGCACAGCCUCCGCGCGCACAGGCAUCGGCUGGCAGAGGGCAGCUCAGAAGCAAGCAUCUGGAAGGCCGGGCCACCAAGCGCAUCCCAACAGCCCCCCAGCCUGGUCCAGCUGUCCGAGGGGCUGGCGGGAGGAGGCCCUUUGGAGCAGCACAUCUGGGGCAGCCUCCGCACAGCUGCUCUCCUCUGCACCACGACCCAGGACAAGACUUGACGCCCUUCUUUCUGGCUGGGCCCUUUCUGGAGCGGCGCGGCGAGGACGAGGCCCCGGCUGGGAUGGGGCCUGCUCCGUGCGGGUGCCGCGUCCGUGCCCCUUCCGCAGGCAAGGACGAUGCCCUGGGGGCAGCCCUCCGAGGAGACUGCAGCCAAUGUGGGCAUGUGACUUGGGUGACUCGUGCGUCCAAGGGAGUGGACUCCCCCCCCCCGCGCGCCUCUCCCCUCGUUGGGGAGCGUCUCUGCUUUUGCAAAGAGGUGGGAAGAUGGGGAGAUGUGGAAGGCGAGGCUGAGGUCAUUGCUCAUGUGCUUUCCUUUAUGGGGACACUUAUCUCCUGUUGUGUGUGCGUUUGUGUGGGUGCUUUUCCCUGUGGCUCAAUAAAAUGGACGGGUGCCUCCAUCUGCAGAAGAAUUUCCCACACAUGAUAGCGGGUGAAGAGAAGCGGACGGGAAGGGCUGGACUCCAUAUUUAGGGGUAAAGACGUUUGCAUUGUGUGCCUGACAAUCAUCUAAUCCGUGUUAUCUGACCUGGAUUAAGAGGGGAGAAACUACUGGAGGGAAGGGUUGGGGGUAUCUGAUUAGCUGAGGGAAGGGGAGAGACUGAACUUCUGGAUUCCCAGGGCCUGAUACCAGCCAUUCCAGGUAUUAAUGAGGACUAGCAGGCUGAAGAAUAAAGUGGAGGAGUGUGAAGGAAAUUUGCCCAUGCCUAGAGGUGGUCUUUCUAUUGUUUUGCAUGUUCCAGAGCUGAUGGAACCAGACUAAAGUCUCAGAAUGCUGAAAAUAUGCAUGCAGAGUGUCCGAAUCUCUGAAAAUGGCCUGCAGGAAUCUCUGAAAAAAAGAUGAAUUACCGAGAGGAGCUCUGCACCUGGUUCAGAGUCCUCAGUUCUGUUCCCUCCUCUGGAUGCUUUUCGAUUAAGCGCUUGAUAUAUUCACCAGGAAUCUUCCAAAGAGGGAAUUCUUGUCCGCCACGUGUAGGAUGGUGUCUCGGCUGUAAACGACGUCGAAGAAGCCCUCUGGAAACGUCCUUCGAGUGGCAUCGCCGAUUUCGAACUGCACCUAAAACACACGGCCGAGAAAACAGCGGUCCCUGAGGAGUAACGUCCAAACGGCCCCCCAUCACACCAGGCCUUAUGGAGGUUCUGAGCCAUGUGUGUGAUGGAAUUCAGGAAUUGGAGGAGUUGCAUUGAGUGUGAAUUCAGAAAUGUGGAGCACCAAAUACGAGGACUCAAAAUCCAGCAGUCAGAAUAUUAGACUGGGACACACAAGAUCCCGGUCAAAUUCCCUCUCAGCCAUGAUGCUCGUCAAGUGGCUUUGGGCCCCCUCAGCUAUUGGACCACUGACCUGACGGAUAGAAACAGGACUCCCGGAAGAAGAGAUGCCCGUCUGGACGUAGCCAGAGAAGCAUCUGUCGGGCGACGCUGAUCAGCUCCGCAUCCGAGAGGUACAUGAAGAGCCAGUUGGAGAAGACGAGGUCAAAGCUACGGCAGGGAAGAGGAGGAGGAGGCGGUCAAGAGCUGCCGGCCGAGCUCCACCUUCGGAAGGGGAAGCUGCAGCAUCCUGAAUGCGUACGAAAGGUGCUGGAUUGUAUGACCCUUGGGGCAGAGACCCAUCCACCAUGCGCCCCAGUGGCACUGAGCAAGCCAGCGGGCCACACCUCUCGGUCGGCAGCUGCAGGCUGGUAACGUCGGCCUGCAGGAACGCCACGUUGGAUCGGUGCCCGUUCUCCUGUCGAUUCUGCACCAAGAAGCUGUCCAUGAAAUCCACGGCCGUGACGUGACGCCCACGUUCGGCCAGAUGCCCCGUGAAUCGGCUGGAAGAGAAACGGAGAGGCCUCAGUCCCGCAAGGGCAACUGCAUGGGGCAGUCGGAAGUGAAGGAAGGAGCCGAGAAGUUCAGCAGAGGGAGGAAUGAGGAAGACGCCCUGAAAUGCAGAAAGCACUGUGGAGACAAAGGCCGUCCAACAUCCGAAGCUCUCUGAGUGCUUUUCAGAGAUUAACGCCUCAAAGAUGAAAAACGAAAUGGAGGAGAAUUAUAUAAGCCACCUUGCAGGCAAAAAGAUCUUGGGACUCUACAAGAAGGGGCUAAAAUGCCGGGCGUGCAGUGUGAGCUGCCACAAGCAGUGCCGGGACCUCCUCUCCGUCGAGUGCCGCAAGCGCACCAAGAGCGUCAGCCUGGACGGCCCCGCGGCGCUGCCGGCCCGCUCCUUCAGCUUCUCCCUGCCGCGGCCCGGGCGGUCCUCCCUGAGGCACUCAGAAAUCCAGGAGGAAGAGAUGCAGGCUGUGGAAGAUGGGGUCUUUGAUGUACACCUAUGAGGCCGAUGCGCAGGGCUAGCCUGAAAUUCAGGCACCAGAACCUUUCGUCCCUCCUUGAGCUUUCCCUCUUCAAAUCCUCCACCAUGUUCCAGGGCCUCACAGCGCCUCCCCUCGCGAGCGGAACAUGACUUGCUGGUGGGCAGAGAGACGGUCCCUCCUUCCAGACGCCGCCUUUGCUCCUGCAACUUCCAAGACUUGGGGCGACGUGUUCCCUGGCCGGGCACGAGGGGUGGAGGUUCUCUCUCCGGUGAUGUGUGUAUAUUUGUAUCAAGAACUGGAUUUCGAGGUGUAAUACUCAUUCUAAUAAAAGCAACACACUCUGCC
Molecule: long non-coding RNA, 3488 nt
Organism: Varanus komodoensis (Komodo dragon)
Lineage: Eukaryota; Metazoa; Chordata; Lepidosauria; Squamata; Varanidae
Exons: 10
Source: RefSeq, a predicted model, not a curated record